AUCGGCCACACUGACUGAGACACGGCCCAGACUCCUACGGGAGGCAGCAGUGGGGAAUAUUGCACAAUGGGCAAGCCUGAUGCAGCGACGCCGCGUGAGGGAUGACGGCCUUCGGGUUGUAAACCUCUCAGUAGGGACGAAGCUUCGGUGACGGUACCUGCAGAAGAAGCACCGGCCAACUACGUGAGCAGCCGCGGUAAUACGUAGGGUGCGAGCGUUGUCCGGAAUUACUGGGCGUAAAGAGCGUAGGCGGUUUGUCGCGUCGUCUGUGAAAUUCUGCAACUCAAUUGCAGGCGUGCAGGAUACGGGCAGACUUGAGUACUACAGGGGAGACUGGAAUUCCUGGUGUAGCGGUGAAAUGCAGAUAUCAGGAGGAACACCGGUGGCGAAGGCGGGUCUCUGGGUAGUAACUGACGCUGGAGCGAAAGCGUGGGUAGCGAACAGGAUUAGAUACCCUGGUAGUCCACGCCGUAAAC
Molecule: ribosomal RNA, 476 nt
Filed under: uncultured bacterium
Lineage: Bacteria
Description: bacterial SSU rRNA
Rfam family: Bacterial small subunit ribosomal RNA
Source: RNAcentral